GAAGUAAAAAGUCGUAACAAGGUUUCCGUAGGUGAACCUGCGGAAGGAUCAUUAAUAAAUUCCUGAAUUUAAAGAAUAAAAUAAUAUCUACCCUAUGUGAAUUUGUUGUUUUGAAAUAAUUUUUUUUAAAAAAUUAUUGAUUGUCUUUCCCUGUUGAAUUAGAGGUCUGAUAUGAAUUCACAGGGAUAGUCAGUAAUUUUUUUAAAAGACCUUUUUUUAAAUUAAACUUUUUGUAUCAUUUGUCUAAAUUAUUUUUAUAAUAUAAAAACAACUUUUGACAAUGGAUCUCUUGGUUCUCGCACGAUGAAGAACGCAGCAAAAUGCGAUAGUAGUGUGAUUGCAGAAUACGUGAAUCAUCGAAUCUUCGAACGCAUAUUGCACUUUUUAGUUUACUAAAAAAGUAUGUCUGUUUGAGUAUCAGUAAAUAUUCUCAUAAAACAUUGUUUUUUAUGGUUAUGAGUGUUUACAACGAUACAAGUGUUUCACUUUAAAUUCUUGUCUUUUAAAAAAUCAUUAAAAACUGAUUUUUUUUAAAAAUUGGAUAAAUUUUCCCGUAAAAGGAAUAACUAAACAAUUUUAAAAUUAAAAUUGGUUUGAUUUCUUUAAGAAUUAAAGGAAAAAAGUAAAAAUUAACUUGAUCUCAAAUCAGAUAAGAGUACCGCUGAACUUAAGCAUAUCAAUAAGCGAGGAAAAGAAACUAACAAGGAUUCCCUUAGUAACGGCGAGUGAAGCGGAAGGCUCAAUUUGAAAUCUUCAAGGUUACCUUGACGAAUUGUAGUUUAAGAAGUGUUUUCUGUUGGAGUUUUGGUAAAGUCUUUGGAAUAGGACAUCAUAGAGGGUGAGAAUCCGUAUUGACCAUUAUUUCCAGCUGUGUGAUACACUUUCAAAGAGUCGAUUGUUUGGAAUGCAGUCAAAAUGGGUGUAAAUUCAUCUAAAGCUAAAUAUUGGCGAGAACGAUAGCGAACAAGUACCGUGAGGGAAAGAUGAAAAGAACUUUGAAAAGAGAGUUAAACAGUACGUGAAAUUGUCAAAGGAAGCGUUGACACAGUGUUGUUUCUCGAAAAUCAAUUAAAAUGAUGGAUUUUGUGUUGUAUUGACUUUAUCGCUUUCUGCACUUUUUCUUAUCUUUUUAAUGCACUUUUCGUUUAACAAGUCAACAUCAAUUUCUUUGUUGUAAAAGAUCAUUGGAAGGUGGCUUUUCUCGGAAAAAGUGUUUAUAGCCUUUGGCUUCUGCAAUCGGAGAGAUUGAGGUCUGCAGCGUAAUCCUUCGGGGUUAGAUACAUUUGUGCUAACUAUAGUUCUUUAUAGACAACUUGUUGACUAAUAAAUCCUGUACUUACUCGCUUAUGCUAUUUACCUACGCUUAGAUGUGAG
This 1374-nucleotide unclassified non-coding RNA is filed under the name uncultured Neocallimastigales. Its description in RNAcentral is "partial contains small subunit ribosomal RNA, internal transcribed spacer 1, 5.8S ribosomal RNA, internal transcribed spacer 2, and large subunit ribosomal RNA". The stretch from base 636 to 1374 matches the Rfam family "Eukaryotic large subunit ribosomal RNA", at positions 1 to 625 of the family's 3401-position model. Lineage: Eukaryota; Fungi; Neocallimastigomycota; Neocallimastigomycetes; Neocallimastigales. The record is from RNAcentral.